This 253-nucleotide ribosomal RNA is filed under the name uncultured bacterium. Its description in RNAcentral is "partial 16S ribosomal RNA". It matches the Rfam family "Bacterial small subunit ribosomal RNA", at positions 524 to 776 of the family's 1533-position model. The record is from RNAcentral.
UACGAAGGGGGCUAGCGUUGUUCGGAAUUAUUGGGCGUAAAGGGCUCGUAGGCGGUUUGUCACGUCGGGAGUGAAAACUCGGGGCUCAACCCCGAGCCUGCUUCCGAUACGGGCAGACUAGAGGUAUGCAGGGGAGAAUGGAAUUCCUGGUGUAGCGGUGAAAUGCGCAGAUAUCAGGAGGAACACCGGUGGCGAAGGCGGUUCUCUGGGCAUUACCUGACGCUGAGGAGCGAAAGUGUGGGGAGCGAACAGG